AGGCCUCCAGGUCCAGGGUGCCCACCUCUCCUUUUCUCUCGCGUCCCACCCUCACCCUCCCGAUCUCGUGAGCUGCAGGGGAAAUCGGUCUCCAGAAUCGCCACCACCGAUGCCGCUCGGUUCCCCUCCGCAAUGGUCUCCACCAGCGCCGCGUGCCCCCAAGAAAAUGGCGGCCUUGGAUGAAAACGUGCGGCUCGAUCGACCUUGAGAUCCCCAUCAACGCGGACUCCCCUAUGACCAAACCAACGAUCAAUGUGUGGUGAGAAUGACAGCAGUAUGCACCACAUUUGCAGUCUUAACUACAUGGUAAGCUUUACUAAACUAAAACUUGUCCAAACGUUUGCAACCAACGUUGGAAAAAUUUAUCAGGUUGCAGUUUUGCGGCCAUGUUGAAUCGCUUUUAUACUUAAUAUUUUUGAUGGGUCGUACAAGCUGGUUGAACUGCCACUGGUUGCUACAACCUACAAAUAUACAGAUCUUCAUUAUAUGACUCACUAUAUAUGAACUUCUUCAUGCAUAAAUUGUGUUUUUAGGCGAUUCACUUUAGAAAUUGGUGUGCUAUAACAGUGAGACUGUUCUAUAUAUUGCUAUCCAGAUUUGACAUUUAGUUUCCAUAACCUUUAUUUUUCUGUUAUUAUUAAGGACAACAUGCUAAUUUCUCUAAUCCACUCUUAUUGUAAUGUUAUGAUUUUGUUUCUAGGUUAGUAAAACUUUUUAUUCAGCUCAAAGAGGUCCUGCAGUACAUCCUAGGAAAUAAAGGCGAGUCAAUUCGGUGAGGAUAAACUGGAUUGCCUUCUAUUGUGGCGGGUCAAACUAUUUUUUGAAACACCACCACCACCUACAUGCUUUUUUCUUCCUUUUCUUUCUAAUAGAGCGCUGAUUGUACCUACUUAGAAAUAUUAGUGGAUGCAUCCAAGUCUGAUUUGGCACUUCUUUUUUAAGCUGAAUGGAGAGGUCAUAUUUAGCUAUAAGUUGUUUGCUACUGUAUUUCUUUAGUUCCAAUUAAUUGGAUUUGAUUUUAAAGUUCUACAACCAAAUGAUAGUUCAGAGAGAGUACAUGUUGUUACUCCACUUAUUUAAAAACUACCAGAGAGAGUACAUGUUGUUACUCCACUUAUUUGACUAAAUGAUGCAAAUGCUUUCCCCAUAGGAUAACUUGACAAUUUGUCGAGAGAAGUAAUAAAAACCGUCAAGCUUAAAGAGCAAAAGUUUGAGCACUAAAACGGUGAGUUCAGAUGCCAUGUAGUUCAUAGUCUAUGUGCAACGGCUUUUUAAUUUGACUGAAGCAAAUGUGAUUUCUGGUUCAUAGUAGGGAUUAGUGCAUUACUGCCACACACUGAUGUGAUCAUCCAUGUCUGCUGAGGUGCCUUAGGUUUGUGAUGCUGAAGUUGUCGUACAUAUGCAAUUUUUUCUAUUAUUCUUUCACCAAAAUGUUAUUAACCAUGCGGAACUUUUUUCUUCUCUUUUAUCUGAUUCUAUUUGUAGACCAAGUGAUUUAUUUAUGAUAGCGAAUUUCUGGUGUACAUGUGAAUAUCUCAUGUCUAUAGUCAGUACACCUCCCUGAACAAGAUCAGAGUAUUAUAUGAACAAGCAUGGUUUGUAGUAUGAUCUACUUAUCAUUAGUUCAUGAUACUCCCUCUGUCCCAAAAUUCUUGUCUUAAAUUUGUCUAAAUACGGAUGUAUCAAGUCAUGUUUUAGUAUUAGAUACAUCCGUAUCUAGACAGAUCUAAGACAAGAAUUUUGGGACGGAGGGAGUACCUAGAUGUAUGAUAUCCAGUCUGCCAAUGUGGUCGCAGAACUUGCUAUUUAUAAUCUCCUAAUGAAAUGUUAUGAUUUGUAUGGUAUAGGAAUGAAAAUACUUUCAGAUGUCAAAGAACAUUUAAAGCAUCUAACUAUACUCGCAAAAAGCAUAUCAAUAUGCAUUUUAGUAAAUUGCCAAAAUACUCUUUUCAGUAUAAAAUGUUGUCUUAAAAGAUGGAAUUGUAUCUUUUUUGGGUGACUGUUGGGUUGUCUGAUUGUUCACUAAUCAUUCUUCGAGGGAUUCCUUGCCGCCACACUUAUCACCGCCUCCCAACAUGUCACUUUUAGGUGGGCAUCAUCACAGCUGCCAUAUAGGAGAACUCCCUAUCUUUGAUAUGCUCAACGGCGGUGACAUGCCUAGAGCAGUGCAUAACAUCACAGGAGAAGUCACAGGCUGUGGGGCUUUGCGGAGACUUCCCGCCACCAAGACGAGCCUCCCCAUUUUGAACGCAUUAGCAGGACCUCGGGAAGCCCAUCAUCACACCGCCCUGGGUCGUCAAGUCUCCGUUGCCGUCAUAUUUGUUCAACAUCAAAUUAAAUGAAUCCAGAAAUCAAGUGAUAGUUUGGUCAUAGUGGAUUGAAUUGGGAAGCUCAAGUUAUGCACUAUUCUCGUGAUGGGUUUUUGGUAUGUUUCGGUUCAUAAUUAGCUUGGUGAUCUGCAUUAGUCGUGGUUUGCUACUGAUUCUUUUUUGGAUCAGUUAUAUCUAUGUUUGACUAUUCAACUCCAUGAAUGAAUCCAUGUACAUGUCUUUACUUUCCUGUUCUAUUUUGAGAGCACACAUAUUGAGUUGUGGGGGCCAUGUCGAGUAUACCUAUUGAGUUGUGCAGGUUAUUGUCUAUAUCUAUAUGUACAGUAGCCCGUGGUGUCCUGGAAGUUUGACUAGGAAAGGCAACAACAAAACUGCGUCCUGGAAAUGUCAUUCUGCUUGGUCUUAUGAGUUUACUGAAUUGACAGACUCUUGUUUCAAUGUUUCUAAUGCUCACACCAUUAUGUCAGGCAAAAUUAUGGGGUACAUGUCUUUGCUAAUACCUCCAAAUUAUUCUCUACAGUGAAGAAUCAAGCUUAUCUAUUUUAGGUCAGUGUUUUUGUAUUCACUAAAUAUUGCCAGUGGUGAAGCCGAAACUAAGCAGUGUGCGUGAGGAAGGCAAGCUUGCUGACGAGCGUGGGGGCGACCAUGAUGUGGCUCGGAGAAAGGGUGCAUAUGGAUUACUUAUUACCCAUUGGGUCUGCAAAUAUGAGAGUGGCAAGGCAUGGGUAUUUAGCUCGAGCUGUGCAUGGGCUGCUCGAGCUGCGCGCCAAUGUGGAGGCCCCGCACCGCCGCCGAUGGGCUGAUGUUGUUGCACGUCGUGGCGGGGACGUCCGUGUGUGUGCUGCUUGUGCUGGGCGCUGAUGUGGUCGCCCCCGAUCGGAAGGGACGCCGCUGGAGCUGCUGCGGGAUAUGGUGGUGGUCCGCUGAUGGAGCUGGGAGCAGACGCGGAGGCAAUGGGCCCGACUCUCUGUGUGCAAAUCAUGAUGACUUGGAGCACUGCCAUGGGAAGUUUUUAUUCAUCUUUACCUAUAUUUAUUGGAUUAGGUUCCAUUGGCAGGUGAGAUUCUUAUCCUGAAUGCUUUUAUUCUAUUUUUGCCAAGACACUUCUCCUUAAUAUGUUCAAUAUUCAUAAUAAACUUGUUGCGGUAGAAUUACAUGAUUUCUAAACAUUUUGAUUCAUAAUACCAAUUUGCUGUAUCAUGGGGUUUAUUAGAAAUCCUAAUGCAUUUCUAAUCAGGAUUGUUUCUAAUGGUGAUUAAAUCUGUCAUAGUGUCAACAGGUUAAAGAUGAUGUACCCUUUUCCCGUUUGGAUACCAACCAUUGCAUUCAGCAGUAAGAUAUGUUGCUUAUUUACUUGUAGAAUCAAGUGGGUUAGAGGCAUCUGCUUUUAACUAUUUACGACACUUCUUCAGCUUCUUUGAUUUUCAGUAGUUGGUCCGUUAAUCAUCUAAAUUUUUCCUGAUUUCACAUCCAUGGUAUCUGCUUUGCUUUAGUACCUGUUCAUGGUUCACUCAUGAUUUGUUUCUUUCUCCCUAUCAGUCUUACCAUUUUGUUUUGCUUGCUUUACCUUGUAGCUUCUCUGUCACACUUUUUAUGCUUUUACGAUGUCCUAAUAAAAGUUUUGUGUAGGCAGAUAAUUUUUUGCUUACUACAAACUGUAAGAAGCUGAAGCUUACUGAUCUGGGGCUUGCACGAGAGGAAACUGUAACUGAAAUGAUGACGACUGAAACUGGGACAUACUGAUAUGGACACAGAGGUUAUAAAUCACUCUUUUCCACAAUAGAUAGUCAAUAUUAAAAAAAUUAGGAACUGAAGCCGAAAUAAAAUGGUUCCUGGUUGUAGUUUCCUGGGUUGAUUCUUCAAAUUAUACUUCAAUUUGUAUGCCCUCGCGAUAAUUUUCUGCCUGAAGUUUCUAGAGCUCACUGAUUUUAGGACCUUCUAUACAAAGAGAAAUCUGAUGCUCUAGAAUUUGUGUAUGAAGAUUGCUUUAAUAACAAUCGUAAAUAUAAUUAUAUUCUUCAAUUAAGUAAUGAUAAUGUAAUAUUGCAUCCUGUCAUUUACAAUCAGAUAGACAAGUGACCUUAAGUAUAAGGUUUCAAACUAUUUAACGCUCAAUGCUUGUUAUAUAAUUCUCCGUGGUAAGAUCAACUGAGUUGGGCAUCAUAAUUGGCACUAAACAUCCAAAGUUAAGUUCGUGCUCACCAUUUCACGAUUAUAUUUUUGGUACUGAUAUUUUCAUAUUACCAGUUCGCUGAAGAUAGAGCUCUGGCAUUGUAUUGAAGCUCAACUCCGCAUGAAAGUGUACAACUUCACUGUUAUGUUCUGGCACUCGAAUUUGCUAUGCUUUGCAUGCUAGGAAUACUUACACGUUCAUUCUUAAAUCAUCUUGUUAUAUGGCAUUGUAGGUCUGAUGGAAAAGAACUUCUGUGAUAUAGGCCAGGACGGAGGACGUUGUCAAUGGAAAACAUGGCUCCGCAUGAAGGUUCACUCGCCAAUAGUCUUCAAGAAGAUGCGAAGGUCAUGGUUCUGUGUUGAUGCCCCUUGAAAAAAAUACCUUCACAUUUUCUUGUUUGAAGGAACGCUAGGAGGAAUUGAGGAUGCGAAAAAUGUACGGAGGAAAGGGAGACUAGGAGAGGUGCACGGUGAGGCAUCGACGUAUGCUUUUUGUCAUGGUGUUCUCAUAUCCAAACUUGAAUCAAGUAUGCUUUUUGAAUGGCUUGCACUAAAGCAGAGUAUAAUUCUUAUACUUGUGUUUUAAAUUGACUACAUGUUGUCGUCUCCUCUUGUAUACAUCUUCCCUAACUACCCAUUUUGUGAUGGGUUGUUAAGCUACCAUUCAAGGGAAUGCAUGUUGACAAAUGUA
Long non-coding RNA from Triticum aestivum (bread wheat), 5193 nucleotides. RefSeq lists it as uncharacterized. The transcript has 4 exons. The record is from RefSeq and is a predicted model, not a curated record. Lineage: Eukaryota; Viridiplantae; Streptophyta; Magnoliopsida; Poales; Poaceae.